UACGAGAGGUGCGAGCGUUAAUCGGAGUUACUGGGCGUAAAGGGCGCGUAGGCGGUAGUAUGGGUGUGAUGUGAAAGCCCUGGGCUUAACCUAGGAAGUGCAUCGCAAACUAUACAACUGGAGUAUAUGAGAGGGUGGCGGAAUUUCCGGUGUAGCGGUGAAAUGCGUAGAGAUCGGAAGGAACGUCAAUGGCGAAGGCAGCCACUUGGCAUAAUACUGACGCUGAUGCGCGAAAGCGUGGGGAGCGAACAGG
This 253-nucleotide ribosomal RNA is filed under the name uncultured bacterium. RNAcentral's name for it is "partial 16S ribosomal RNA". It matches the Rfam family "Bacterial small subunit ribosomal RNA", at positions 524 to 776 of the family's 1533-position model. The record is from RNAcentral.